Molecule: long non-coding RNA, 1252 nt
Organism: Lathyrus oleraceus (garden pea)
Lineage: Eukaryota; Viridiplantae; Streptophyta; Magnoliopsida; Fabales; Fabaceae
Exons: 3
Source: RefSeq, a predicted model, not a curated record
AAACUGGAUCAAAAAAGCUGUAGAAAGGGCUUUACUAUGGAAAGCCCAAACCGUGGGAUAUGAACGUCCAGGAAACCUAAGUAUCUUCAUCACCUGCCUAGUAGUCCUCAAAAGGAGAAGAACAACGGAAACGCAUUCCUAGUUGCACCGGCCUUUGCCGCCGGCGGUGGCGGAAGAAAAUGUUCUGUCGGCGGCGUCAACUCCGUUGGUGAGGAGGGAACCGGUUUGUCCUACAAAAUCGAUGCUGAAAUCGAAACAAGGCGGGAAGGAAGAAUGUUUGAGGAUGAACUAUGCGGCGGUGGCGGAAGGAGGUUCUAUGCAGAAUCGUUGCAGGAAUGUUGUUUGAAGCUUCUCGAAGACGAGAGAAUCCGUUAGCAGCAGAGAGGGAAUAAUUCUCAAUAAAGCUCUAAAUUGAAACGAAUCGAGUAUGAUGACAACGAGAGCACGAAAAUUCUUCACGUGCAGGUGAUAAUGGAUGAUGAGGAAAUGCUGAAAAAUGAAUUCGAGAGGAAGAUUCGUGUUUUCCAGAAAAAGAGAGGGGAGAAAAAAAGUCCAGCCCAAACCGCUAUACAAUCCUGUAUUUAUAUUUUGAAUUCAUGGAGUUCGUUUGUAGUUGUGCGGCUGUACAUGCUUCGCGUGGCUGCAUUUUUGAAUUGGCUUGUUUGGCAGUUUAUGCUCGCGGCUCACAUCAUUUGGUUUCACGUUGCAGCUGCGUUUGGUUGCAGCUUUGGUGUUGGCUCCCGGUUUGGCUUACUUUCAGAAAUUGUUAGCAUCGGCUUUUGUUGGCUUACUAUGUGCUGUUGCCAUUUAUUUCGUGGCUUGCUCUUUGCAGUGUUUAAGUUUGGAAGCUCAUGUUGAUUUGUUCCAGAUGAUGGCAGCUUGUGGCAUUGCUCGUUGUGGACUACGUUGACACAGCUAGCUUCUUGUGGUUUUCAAUCUUCAUUUUGCUAGCUUCUUGUCGUUUUCAAUCUUCAUUUUGUGUGAAAGCUUGCUCUUUGUUGUGGUGAGCUGCGAAGCCGUUUGAGCCAAGGUUCAUACUCUUUACGUUUUCACUUGGAUGCCGCGUUUUGAUCCUCGCGGAUGGUUAUGUCGUUCAUGCUUUUGGCUUAGCUGCGGUUGCAGCUUUAAGGCUUGAACGAUUCACAUGUACUGCUACUUUGGCUUGUGAUGCCUCUUUUUUGUAUUUAUUUGAAUACUUGGAAUGUGGGUAGUGGAUAGAUAUGAAUGUUUUAAUGAGAUUAAAAAUUGGAUA